GCAUUUCUAGCAUGUAAGAUAAAUUAAAAUUUGAUGUGAUUCCAUACCUGAAAAUUUACACACCAAAAUGCCCAUGUAAUAAAUCAAGCAUCUAUGACCUUUCAUGCGCAACCACUAAUAUCUGAUUUGAUGCAUAUUGAAGAAGGUGAUAAUUAUGUUUUUUUUUUUUUUUGCUCAAGCCAUAGAAUAAGAUCAAAUGGAAUUUCACUUGCUUAAACUAAUAGAACUGUGCCUUUUUUCACAUAGUAAACAACAUACAGAGUUAAGAUAUCCAAUGCUCGACAAAUAAUUCCAGGUUGUCCAGAUUUACUUCUGAGCACCUAAAUCAACUCAAAAAUGCAUACCAGGAGCAGAAAAAAAAUCAUCAAAUAAUUUUGGCAACACCAACAAAUACUUUACUGCAUUGGUAUUGAAAACUGGCAUGAAACACAUGCUACAUGCAUCCAAAAGCACUGUGUUCUAUAAAUCAUCAGUCAAAAUAGAGAUGGAUUCUUGUUUUCUCCAUCUUAUUUACUUCCUAUUAUAUCCCUUCAUCACAGCCAUCCACGCUUUUCAUGUGCAUGGCACAUGAUAAACAACAGAUGCCUAAUGGGUGUUUUAUAUAUUAGUAAGAUCUAAAAGCAAAAAGGCAAAACAGAAAAAAUAGCAUUUCAGUGACCAAAGCAAAGGGAACUUAGUUUUUCUUGAUCCAAGAAAAAUCAUGUAUUAGUCUUUUACCCAACCACGGUUCACUAAAUGCCAACACUCUUUAAUUUAUAGCAGCAAUCUACAAGAUCUAAUUAAUAACAUUCCAAUUUCUAGUCUAAGUUGUCCCACCUUGCUCAUCCAGCAAGCUCUAAAAGCACAAUGGACAUCCUAGACCAUUACUAACAACAUACCAACAAUGCCUGCUUGUCUAUACAACUCCAAGCCAAUUGUCAAAGAUGUGGAAAAAGAUGACAGGAUCUACCAUACAUGCAUAUUAAAUUUCGAACUAAGCAAGCAAACAAAAUCCACGUUUACAUGAUGUUAUACAAGACUAGACUUGAAUUCAUAUUUUACAUUAGAACGUAGGCAAAAAGGGAAAAAAAAAAAUCUGAAUCUCAUUAAUUCUAGAGUAAGAAGACCAAAAUCAUUAUAUGCCAGUAUCAUAAUGAAGGGGAACAUCAGAAUCUACUCGUACUGACAACAUAAAGAAUUGCUUUCACUGAACAGUGAAUUGCACUUCAGCAUACAAUGUACUCACAUGAGAAAUCCUAAAUAAUCAAUUUAUCACGUAUGAGUGACAACUAAAAAUAUUAAAACCAUUUAGAACUAACCAAUAAGCUAUGUGACAAAUUUUAGCAUCACUGAGUAAUGAGUGAAGAAAAGCACCAAAAAUCCAACUAUUAAAUAAAUGCAAACAAGAGAUUCAGAAUCAGAUAAGGGGGCAAAACCUUUAAAAAGAAAAAGGAUCUGUGGAGUGUAUACCCUCCUAAAUAUACGAAAUUCACAAUUGUUAUUUGCAUGGUACCCUUAUAAAUUUGUGUGUUGGUAUUUCUGUUAUUUUAAUUUUAAACUGUUCAUUUCUCAAAAGCAUUACAUAGCAUGGGUACAUAUGCAAGAAAGAAAGAAAGAGAGAGUAUAUAUGCAAAACAAGUAUUUUAUGAGGAUAUACAAUGCAAAUAGCAACUUUGCGAGGAUAUUUAUAUAAUUUGGCAUAUUUAGGAGGGUAUACCCUAAGAAAACCCAAAAAACUGAACGCUUACUAAAUACCAGCUUCAGACACUUAAAAAUCCACUUUUUCCUUAAACUUAACGUUCAUCCGAUCAAGAAGAUGUUUCAUAAUCCAACUUUUCCCAGAAAAAACCCCAGAAAGUUCCCAAGUUUUAUCAAAUAUUUACACUAAAAUCCCCCAACAACCCUCUUUUUCGCUUCAUACAUGAAAACACAAGCAGUUCUGGUGCAUCUUGAAUUCUCAAAAGGGUCAGAAACGAGACGAUACCCCAUUUUUCGCCUCAACCGGGUGCUCAUCGUCGAUAUGGCAGAACAACCCCACGAUAUCAAAAUCCUCCGAGCAGAACGGACACGGAAACUCUGCUCUGGAAUCCUCAUCCCCUCCAUCGAUCUCCUCAUACCCACGGUACAAAUCUACAAACCAAAACACCCAAUCAAACCCCACUCUGAAAAAAAAAAAAAAAAAGGAACUCCGAACCCAGACAAUCGACAACCAGAUACUCAAUACUCACCGAAUCGGGAUUGGAGGACGGACUGAUGGCGCUUCGAGGCGGUGAAGAAACGGCUCCAGCAAUCAGCCUCCAUGGCUUCCUCCUCCCUCCGGUGUCGCCCCAAUUCAAGCUUCUAGUCCCCUGGAGAGCGAGUAAAAGCCCUGGAGACCAAGCAAGACAGCACCGAUCCCUCGUACCCUCGUAUAAAAUUCCCGAGGGCAAUAUAUAAGAGAGAGAGAGAGAGAGUUGCGAUUCCCUUCGGUAGAAAAAGGGGCGAAAGAGCUCGGCAAUUGCUUCCUGGGAAAGGCAAGGAGAGAAGAAGACGAGAGAGAGAGAGAGAGGCCACCGACCAGAAGGAUGGAGCAUUUAGAAAUAGAAUAAUCAGUCCCGGACGUUCUCCGAAGGAGGGGAAUGCUACCAGAUGCGUACACGUGGCGAGAUCCGGAAUCGUGGUGAGGAAUGCUCGCGGAUGUUCAAUGGAUAGCUGAUCCAAAGGGUGUGAUUCAGUUGGGUCGGAGCCGAGCGGGAAACGGGCAGUUAAGAUAGUACGCAUAAAUUUUAUGGUUGUGUUUUUAUGCGGGGAUCGAGAUCGGAACGAGAUGCAUCUACUGAGCGGUUUAGAUCAAAUCGGACGGUAGAGUUUACUUUUGCAUAGAUAUUAUCCACGAUAGCCGGUUUGCAGGGCAGUUUAUCUAUGCUUAGAUACGAACCCGAAAAGGAAGCGCAAGGAACGUCCGGGAAACGAUAGAGUGUUGUUUUCUUUGGUCCGCAGAGGGUUCCCAUGUACGUGUUUUCUCCAAAGAUUCAUUGUUGCGUGGAUGUAUGUUUGUGACCUUACAUUUGUGCAUUUAUUCAAGGAUAUUAGCUCAUAGGGUAAUCCGUCCUCAGCUGCUUUCGUAGCUCAGUUGGUUAGAGCACCCGUUUAGUAAGCGGGAGGUCUUGAGUUCGACUCUCAACGAAAGCAUCACCUUGUUCCUUCUUUUCUUUUGGUUCCAUGUAAUGUAAAUCUGAUUUAAUUUUGGACAGAGUAAUGCAAAAAACUUUCGUGUUAUGUUUUUGGUAUCUAUCACUUAAUUUAUGUAUCUAUCACUUAAUUUAUUUAGAAACCAUCAUACAAGGGGGGGAUACAGACUUUUCCUAAUUAAUAAAUCCUUUUCCUCCGAUAGAGCUUUUCUUCACAAUUUUUAUAUCCUUGACGUUUAACCCAAGCAUGUAAAAUUCGUAUGUAGGUAGAUAUUCUAUUUUAACCUGGUUUGCUGCUUCCCAUUCAUUGUGACUGCUAAUUGUUGAUUAAGCCAUACUUGAUUGAUGAAUUCGUGUUGAAUUUUUAGCGAAGGAAAAGAAAUCCUUGGUGGACUAGAUUCAUUAUUAUCUCUAUUUUUGAGAAAAUUAUUUUCAUACCCCAUACUUAAUUUCUUCUAAUAAAAUGGAUAUAAAUAGGGGAAAAGGUGGUUGUGUGUGUGAGAGAGAGAGAGAGAGUAGAUUCCGUAGAUUUUGGGUCAAAUUUCUAUUUCUUGUAGAUAUAAUAUCGAGGGCCCCUGCCUCUGCCAUUGUGUUCAGGUUUCUUGUUUUUUUUUUUUNNNNNNNNNNNNNNNNNNNNNNNNNNNNNNNNNNNNNNNNNNNNNNNNNNNNNNNNNNNNNNNNNNNNNNNNNNNNNNNNNNNNNNNNNNNNNNNNNNNNNNNNNNNNNNNNNNNNNNNNAGGUAGAUUCCAUAUAUUUUGGGUCAAAUUUCUAUUUCUUGUAGAUAUAAUGUUCAAGGGCCCUGCUUCUGCCAUUCUGUUUAGGUUGCUUGUAACAAUUCGCCCUGUCAAGUUUAUUUGAACUUAAAGGGCAUUGCCCCACCUCCUCUCUCUCUCUCUCUCUCUCACAGACGCACAAUGUCCAAUGGAUUAACCUUCUAUGUAUGCACUGCCCCACCUCUCUCUUUCUUAUCUCCAACCAUGGCUGAAGGGUUUUCUUUCUAGCUUUGUUCUAACCAAGAAAAUACAUAUACAUACAUGUAUGUAUGUAUGUAUUUAUAGGAACAUGUGAACCUGUUGGACAAAUCUAACAGAGGGCUUGACUUUGAUAUGGAAGUGAUGGAUACAAUUUGAAAGUCAUGCAAGAUCUUAUGUGGGUAUUCAUUUCUAUAUGACUUCUUAGAGCUAGAAGGCUCCAUGUGGAUGUUCCUGUCUGUCCCUUCUAUGAGUGACCUUAACAUAAAGCCAUAUUCACACAGCAAGAACAGUAAGGACGGUAGACUGGAUACAAACCAAUUCAAUGUCUCUGUCCGAAUCGUCCAUCUACAAAUGUGCAAAUUGAAGACUUCAUAAUCAUAAACUGAGCUUUCAAUUUUAUAACAUUCACCAAUGGUCGGUUAAUUACCAAGAAUCUAAAAUAUGAAAUAACAAGAUCUUACUAGGAAUAAUACUUGAUCCACAUAGAUUAUAUACAAAAUUAAUAUUCUAGUUAUGGUCAAUAAAUAAACUCCCCCAAAGAGAAAGCCAAUAAGAGUCGUAUCAACAGUACUAAAAUUUCCAUGAUAAUAAAGCUAAUUUCUCAAUUUUUAGGGGUCAUUGUGGCAUGUAAGUGUAGAACUAUUUAACAAGUGAUGUUGUAAAGCAUUACUCAUUUUUUAAGACUUUUUUGUAGUAUAUUCCACAAAUCGUGCUUACAGAUAUUUGUGCUUUGUGUUUUUCGGUACAUCAAUAUUUGUGCUCUCUAGAGGACAUAAAGCAGUGGUUGUAAUUCAAAAAUGCCAGUAGAAUUUGCCUCUAGGUUCAGACAAGUUUUCUUAUCCUCCAAUGUGCAUCUCCUAUGCAGAUUACUUUUAAGCAUUUGGGCUGGGUUAUCCAUCAAACUUCUCAGAGCUAUAGAGCUUUGCCAAAAAUCUCAUAUAUAACAGUAAAGCAAGGCUGUAAAGAAGCAUAGUACAAUAAUGGGCUACUACAUUAAAAGAGCCGUUAAUGUGCAAAAAAAUGUUGGAGUUUAAGAAACGUAACAGCUCUUUACUGUGAGAUCUUUGAACCGGAUCACAGGGAAAAAAUUGUUUCUAAGAAUCAUCAAUGUAUGAAUUUGAGAACUUGAAUAAAGGAGCUAAAGAGCUUCUUGAACGGCAACUCCCACUAAUUAAGUCAUGGAUACUGUUUUUUCUUGUAAUUAGGAUAUUUUUGGAGUAUAAUGGAUUGCUUCUUCACCAUGGUUGCAACUAAUCCUCAUUUCAAACUAAGAACCUGUACGAUAGGUUCAUCCAAAGGCCACUACUUCACAUCAAAAUAGCCUACUAACCACCUAGCAUUUUACGUGCAAGAGCUGGAAGUGGACUUGUUCACUCAGGCAAAGGCCCAUCUAGAUCCAAUUUUAUGGUGCAAGAGACAUUCAAAUAUUCUUGUAUGUGCAUGAGCCUUUAAUUAUCCUGGUCUUAAUAAGUACCAAAAAUGAGUCCUCACCAUCAUCCUGUCCCAAUAAGGAAUAGGAUUAUGCCAAUUUGCACAUCAAACAGGCACAAUCAAACUGCACAUUGUCAAGCAUGAGCAGUGCAUCAGUGUUGUAGAUAAUUCGGUCGAGCAAUAUAAAAAUUUAUCACGACAACAUGUAGCCCUAUACCAUAGAGUUUCACUCCAAGCAAAGAGCUCACAAAUGAGCAUCAUGAGAAAUGUGACCAAGUCAGAUGUGACAAAGUUGCUUCUUAAAUUAGACCUUGAUUAGGAGUGGUGAUGCAACAUAUGAAGUGCACUUUAAAGCAUUGACAAAACUCUUGAACUCGUAGCUCGUGAAAUGGUACUGAUGAUUUCUUUCUCUGUGAAAUAUAGUUUCAAGACCUCUAUUAAGUCUUUGGUGUGGUGAUCACAAAACACCAUCAAAGCAAUAUCUGAAAUUUUUCCGAUUAUGUCUUUAGUUGGUCAAACCAACAUGCUAACUUUGCAUACUCUUUACUAAGUUUGCUGACCGACAAGCAAUAGAAUUUGUUUCAUAGUGAACAUGAGAAACCUUGACUGGCAGGUAUUACCAUACUAGUUAGGAACUGGUAGUUGGUGGUACUUUGUACUUAUAUCUUAGUAGCUUCCAUUCCAUCAUUCUUCAAAACUCAAUCUAAUCUUGGGUAAUGGAGGAAAGUUGGCUAGUUUUUACAAUGUAUUAUGCGGUAUAGUUCCCAAAAAUAGGAACUUUAAUUAGUUAGUUGUUUAUUUGGUUUCAAAUUUUCUCUAAGUGACAUGUAUUUUAACUUGUAAAGGCCGCACAGAAGAUUUUGAACCGAUAUCGCAUCUUUAGACAUUAACAAUUCUAAUAAUCCAAGUUGAUAAUUCUCUUUCUAAAAAAUAUUUUGCCAUUAAAGAUAAGUAAGCAUGAACCAUCUUUUUUUAUCUUUUUUUAUGUAGUUUUUUUUUUAGGUCUUGGAUCCAUCCAACCAAGCCCAGUCCCUCGUAGGCAAGAUUCAAAAUUCUAGAAAAUCAGAACAUUUUAUGAAUUGUUGGAACUCUUCUACAACUUCUUCUGUUAUGCAAGACAUACAUGCAACAUAAACCCUAGCCCUCAUGAUUGCCCUUUAUUGCCCGCGUCUAAAUUUAAAAUUUCAAUAAAUGUAGUUACCGUUGCCAGCAUUCCACAGCCGUUGGAUUCCCAUCCGAUGGACCGUCCGGACUAGUCGACCGUUGGGUUUCGAACUCCUCGUCGCUGCCCUUUUCGCUGCCAGGAGGUCAAAUCCGACCGUUAGGAGAUGACAAUUUGAAUCCCAUCUUCUCCCUAACGGUUCCAAACUUUCAAAAGCUUCUCAGGAUCUCUAACCUCUCUCCUCUCAUCCUUGAGGCUUUCUUGGCAUCUGGGUCCCCAUCCAUUUGUUCAAAUAUCUCGUUUCGUCUGUUCUUCCGAUUGUCCAAAAACUUCCUUGGAUUCUAGCCUUCCCUUAUAUUCUUUUCCCCAUCUAGAAUUUGUGUUAUCUUGCUUGAUUCCUGAGGAACGCACCGAAGGAAGAGGGAGGAGGACAGAGGUUGCCAAAAGAAAUGGCUCGGAGGGCUUCAUCUCCCGCUUCGCCGGUGACCAUAAUGGUCUCUUCUGGAGGAAAGGGAGCAGGGGAUGGGGCUGUCAGGAGGAGCAUGGGCUUGACAAGUCCAGUCCCACGCCAUUCCCUCUCCAACAACCCAAAUUCUCCAGCGGCCGCAAGGCCGACCAGCCAGGUAUCGAGCGGCGGUGGUGCGAGGUACUUUUCCACAUCCAAGGAUGAGAUCGAAGAGGUGAGCUCUGAAUUCGUCCGGUACACGGUCCACAUACCCCCAACACCCGACCACCCUGUGGCCCCGCCAUCGGAGUCUCAACCUCAAAGGAGUUAUAUCUCUGGCACCAUCUUUACCGGUGGGUUCAAUUGCGUGACCCGCGGUCAUGUCAUGGAGUGCUCAGCCGAUAGCCCCCCGACGGCGAAGUCUGAAGGAAUGCUGUGCAAGAUGAAGGGCUGCGACGGUGCCGCAUUUCUACAUGGCUCAAAGUUGCCGUGUGAGUGUGGCUUUGUGAUCUGCAAGGACUGCUAUUUGGAGUGCAUUGGGAGUGGAGGGCAGUGUCCAGGGUGCAAGGAGACCUACAGAAGUUUGAGCGAUGAGGACUCGGGGUCAGAGGCCGAGGAGCAAGCCCUACCGCUGACAUCGAUGGUGGAUUUCAGAGGGGGAAGAAGGCUUUCGAUGAUAAAAUCAACCAAAGCCCCAAAUCAGCCAGCUGAUUUUGACCAUAACCGCUGGCUUUUUGAGACAAAAGGGACAUAUGGGUAUGGGAAUGCUGUCUGGCCCAAGGAUGGGCAUGGUGGUGGAGCAGGAUUCAAGGGGUUCGAAGAGCCACCCAACUUUGGAGUAAGAAGUCGGAGGCCAUUGACGAGGAAGGUUGGGGUAUCUCAAGCAAUUCUCAGCCCAUACAGGUAAAAACCUUAGUUUUAAAGCAGAUUUUGUGAUUAAAAUUAGCUGUUACUUUUGAACUGUUCUGCUUUAAAUAAAUGGAAUAGGAAUUGUUAGUUGAAUUGAAUAUUUCGUCUUUCUUGAAUGCAUUAUUUCAUGUCAUAUGUGGGUUAUUCUAAUUAGGCAGUGGAAAUCAUUCUUUCGUAAGAAACUGUUGUAAUGUGUUCCUAUAUUUGAUGGACAGCAUCAACUUGGUGAAAAUUUGAAGGAUUAACUAUAACCUGAUACCUAAUAUAACCUAAUUUGUCUGAUUAAAUUGAGUUGCUCUGUAACUCAACCCAGAUGCAACAGCUGGUGUUUGAGAAUAUACAGCAUCAACUUAAAGAGAAUAAAAGGAGGUGAUAAUGGGGCUUAUAUUUUUAUAUUCCACGUAACCUUGCUGUAGAUUAACCUGGGAGACACUCGUUGUCGGUCAAAUUUCUGAGAACCCGGAUCUAUUAAUAAUCCUGUUGAAUCUUUAUACUUUGCUACGGUGUAUUUGGGCUUAAUGAUGAGCUCUGUCAUGAUUUAGUGCCUUGCUAUGAGGAUUUUCGGGAGCAAAGACCACUCAUCGUUUCUUGCUUUCAUCAGAAAGCCAUUCUUUAAUCCUAUAUAUAUUUUUGGGAAGGAAACAUUGUAAGCUUAUUAUAAAUAAGCUGAUUCCUAUUUCUUCGGUCAUAAUAUAAUAGAAUUUUCCACUGUAUUCAAGUGUCCGAAAAGUUUGCUCUUUUAUCCUACUACGUUCUACUUGUUACUUCUUUGGAUCCUCCAGUACAUUCUCAAAAGAAAUUGCCGUGGUUUUCUAUUCUUAUCCUCUUUCAAAAUUAUAUGCAUUUAUCAUAUGUAUGCUGUUAGUUUGGAGUGCCAUACAAACUUCAAGUAUCCAUUUAGUUGUUAAUUUCUUAUACAUUCUCUUGCAAUGCAAACAAGAAGAAAGAUAUCUUUGAUACCAUCUGAAAUGUUGUUGUUUUGAAAAAUGAGCUAACCUUUUUAGAACUUUCAACUUUCUCAGGUUGCUGAUGAUUAUUCGCCUUAUCGCCCUUGGCUUCUUUCUCGCUUGGAGGGUUCGACAUCCUAACCAUGAAGCAAUGUGGCUCUGGGGAAUGUCCGUAGCCUGCGAGCUUUGGUUUGCAUUCUCAUGGCUUCUUGACCAAUUCCCCAAGCUCAGCCCUGUUAACAGAGCAACAGACCUCUCCGUUCUGAAAGAGCGCUUUGAAUCGCCGAGCGUUCGGAACCCCAAAGGUCGAUCUGAUCUACCAGGUAUUGAUGUAUUUGUCUCCACUGCAGACCCAGAAAAAGAACCCCCUCUUGUCACUGCGAACACCAUCCUCUCCAUUCUUGCAGUAGAUUACCCUGUUGAGAAGCUAGCUUGCUACCUAUCCGAUGAUGGAGGAUCGCUUCUGACCUUCGAGGCUCUAGCUGAGACUGCAAGCUUUGCAAGGAUUUGGGUCCCCUUCUGCCGAAAACAUGACAUAGAGCCAAGAAAUCCGGAUGCCUAUUUCAGUCAGAAGCGCGACCCUCUUAAGAACAAAGUCCGGCUAGAUUUUGUUAGAGAGAGGAGGAAGGUUAAAAGAGAGUAUGAUGAAUUCAAGGUGAGGAUAAAUUCUUUGCCUGAAUCCAUUAGGAGGAGAUCCGAUGCAUACAAUGCCCAUGACGAGUUACGGGCUAAGAAGAAGCAGGAGGAAAUGGGGAGCAACCUUUCUGAACCUAUUAAGGUUGUGAAAGCUACUUGGAUGUCUGAUGGGUCACAUUGGCCUGGGACUUGGUUCUCUCCUGAAACUGAUCAUUCUAGAGGUGAUCAUGCUGGUAUAAUUCAGGUAUCCUCUCUCUUCUUGUUACUUUUAAUUGAGUAAAAUAUCAUUCUAUUGAGUUUUGCAUGCAUAGAGAAACUGAAAAUCAAAGUAUUAAGGGAUCUUACUUCAUGUUAUCUUUCACAGGCAAUGCUCGCUCCUCCGAACUCGGAACCAGUCAUGGGCACCGAGGCAAAUGAGCAUAAUCUCAUUGAUACUACUGGUGUGGACAUCAGACUGCCAAUGCUAGUCUACGUCUCUCGCGAGAAACGGCCUGGAUAUGAUCACAACAAAAAGGCUGGUGCUAUGAAUGCUCUCGUUAGAACCAGUGGUAUAAUGUCGAAUGGCCCCUUCAUUCUGAAUCUGGACUGUGAUCACUACAUCCACAAUUCCUUGGCUCUCAGAGAAGGGAUGUGCUUCAUGCUUGAUAGAGGUGGUGACAGGAUAUGUUAUGUUCAAUUCCCUCAGAGGUUUGAAGGGAUUGAUCCAAGCGACAGGUAUGCAAACCACAACUUGGUGUUUUUUGACGUCACCAUGAGGGCCAUGGAUGGAUUGCAGGGUCCGAUGUACGUUGGAACUGGCUGUAUCUUUCGGAGAACUGCUCUUUAUGGAUUUAGUCCUCCUCGUGCCACCGAACACCAUGGGUGGUUUGGAAGGAAGAAGAUUAAGCUUUUUCUAAGGAAACCAACAAUGGGGAAGAAGAGCGACCGAGAGAAUGAAAUCAUGCAGCCACCUGUAGGGGAUGAAGGGAAUGACGAAGGGGACAUUGAAUCAUCACUCCUGCCUAAGAGGUUUGGGAACUCAGCUACUUUAGUAGCUUCCAUCCCAGUUGCAGAGUACCAAGGAAGACUACUUCAAGACCUGCCUGGCGUUCGACAAGGCCGCCCUGCAGGUUCUCUUGCCGUCCCUCGAGAGCCAUUGGAUGCUGCAACUGUUGCUGAGGCAAUCAAUGUUAUAUCCUGCUACUAUGAAGACAAAACUGAAUGGGGUCAGCGAGUAGGGUGGAUUUAUGGCUCUGUGACUGAAGAUGUGGUGACUGGUUAUCGGAUGCACAACAGAGGUUGGCGGUCGGUCUACUGCGUCACCAAGCGGGAUGCCUUCAGAGGGACAGCCCCCAUCAAUCUGACAGACCGUCUGCACCAAGUCCUCCGGUGGGCUACAGGUUCUGUCGAGAUCUUCUUCUCUCGAAACAAUGCGCUCUUUGCCACAAGGAGGAUGAAGCUCUUGCAGAGGGUGGCCUAUUUCAAUGUGGGAAUGUAUCCCUUCACAUCGAUCUUUCUACUGGUAUACUGCAUCCUACCAGCUGUUUCUCUCUUCUCAGGCCAAUUCAUAGUUCAAACUCUAAGCAUAACUUUUCUGAUAUUCCUGCUGGCCAUUACUAUAACACUCUGCUUGCUUGCAUUGCUGGAGAUAAAAUGGUCUGGGAUAACAUUGCAUGAGUGGUGGAGGAAUGAGCAGUUCUGGUUGAUUGGAGGGACUAGUGCUCACCCAGCAGCAGUGCUACAAGGGUUGCUGAAGGUUAUUGCCGGAGUUGAUAUUUCUUUUACUCUAACAUCAAAGUCUGCAACCGAUGACAAUGACGAGGUGUAUGCGGAGCUCUACGAGGUCAAGUGGAGCUUCCUGAUGGUUCCCCCAAUCACAAUUAUGAUGAUCAACAUGAUAGCUAUCGCAGUAGGGGUGGCAAGGACGAUGUACAGUGAAUUCCCUCAGUGGAGCAAGCUCCUUGGAGGGGUGUUCUUUAGCUUCUGGGUGCUGUGCCAUCUUUACCCAUUUGCUAAAGGGUUGAUGGGAAGGAGGGGAAAGGUGCCAACAAUUGUGUUCAUGUGGUCGGGCCUGCUCUCGAUCGUCAUCUCUUUGCUUUGGGUGUACAUUAGCCCUCCUAAAGGAAGUGGGAAGGACUACAUGAACUUCCAGUUCCCAUGAGGAGAACAGAAGGCAGCAGGAGAAUUCAUUAAAUUGUUCCAAAUCCAUGAAAGGACCAUGUAUACUUCAUUGCUCAAGUCCCAUCCCGAGUAGAAGUUUUACAUAUAUACAUGAUGAUCUAGUUCAUGUAAUGUUGCUCAUACUUCUUUGUGUAUCUUGUUAGUUUCUAUUAAUUUUCUUCUUGGUUUGUUUCAAAUGUCUUAAAAUUUUUGUUCUUCUAUGAUGGAAUUUUUAAGCAUCUUGAAAAUGAAAACUAUGCAGUGUCCAUUUUCCUUGUGUUUGAUUAAUUCAUCUUCUUGAAAUUAGUUGGCAUGAGUGACAAGUUUGAAUAGGCCAUGAAAAGAAGAUUUCUGGAUGCAUGAAGUUGCUCAGUUGGAUGGUGCCAAGUUGGGACCUCAAAUCACACAAUUCUGUGAACAGCACCUCUUCUGGUGAUUUUGAUAAUGUGUAGCUCCCGUGUCCAACAUCCCACCUUUCAAGCCUUGCAGCUGAGUUGUUUAUCCUACAAAAGCCUAUGAACACUGUUCUCAAUGAUCUGCAUGUUGCCAAGAUGUUGGGUGGUCACGGUGUCCUUGUGAUAUCUCCUGCGUUGUAGGAAUCGACUGAGCACAAGGGAUUGGAAAAGGGCCAUCGUCCUCACAAUCCCAUGACUUCAUUUGGGCGACAUGCAUAACUGCAGUUCAUACCAGAAGUAAUACAUCUGUCAUUCAGAGUGUGAGAGUUGGUGGUGUCCUCUAUGCAGAUCCUUCAUGACUUGCCUUUUACUUAAUCAAACAAAUAUCAUUUAGAUCGACACUUCAUUUAUUGUGUGUCUUGUUAUUAAUCUAAUUCAUGCUUUCCUGAGAGUGCCAUGAUCUUCGAAGUGCAAAUCCACAGCAGUGUUUGCUGUGAUGUCGUGUGGUUCGCAUUAAUCCACUUAUAUUGUGCAUCAAGUUCACAUUCAUAAAUUUCUACAUGGCAUCAAGCACAAAUUCAUAUAAUUCCGCAUUGCAUCAAGUAAAUCCAAGAUGAUGCACAAUUGCACAACUUGAAGAGUGGCAAAUGAGAUGCUCAUAUAAAAAUAUGACCAUCGAACCGUCCCAAACCAAGCUAAGUGGUUACCAGGGCAGUUCAACUUGUCGAUCUUCCUCUCUCUCUCUCUCUCUCUCACUCUCUUAAUUUUUUUUAAUAAAAGUCUCUCCACCUUCACUUGGUGUGAGAGAAAUUCUUGGAUAAAUUUAGCCUGCUAGAUAAAGCCAAUGAAAAAUGCCACAUUAGUAUUUUGUAUUUAAGAAUUUUAUAAUCACAUCAAUACAUCAUUGUUUAACCUUGUAACCAUCUUAAUAUAUUAUUGUUUAACCACUCAAUACACCGUUGUAUGCUAUUGUGGCAUUUUUUCGUUGGAUUUGUCUAUAGCAUAUGUAGUAAACCAAGUCUACCUAAAAAUUUCUCCAGGCUCUCGAUCCCUUCCCCCCCUUCCCUCCACCAUCGCGGCCACCAUCUAGUCUCCACCACCUCCAACCCGGUGUUCCCCUUAGAUUGGCACCUCUGUCAGAUUAGGUGAGUCCCCUUUUUCUCUCCUCCCUCUCUCUCCUUCUCUUUGGUUUCCUUAUGUAUUGGGUUGGCACAGUAUGUACUGCUAUCAUGCUAAACCAUUCCUCGGCUAGUAAAAUCUAGGAUACUAGUUUACUAAAGUUUUUGUACAACGAAGGGAGAGAAUAAGAGAGAAGAGAAGAUGUUCCAUCAUGUCCUCCGCAUUAUCCCAUUGCUCUAAAAUGCUCUCUUCCGAGCAACAACAUUUUCUGCCUUUCUAAAGAGCAAAAAAAUUGAUCGCAUCUUCCGAACUCCCUCGAUCAUGGCAUCCUCACUUUUUCGUUCUCCUUUUUACGUAACAAACCACAAGAAUAGAUACAGAAAUAAAAGAAACUCAUGAAUGGGUAUUGCAUUUUGUUACCACCAGUCCCUCCAUUCCCCAGCGAAUCUAUAUAUUUUGGGUCAUGACAAAACCAUCGAUGGGAAGUAUCUCAACAACCCCAAGUUCAAGUAAGAAAUUGCUACUCACUCUUCAUCUUCACCUAGCUCAAUUUUGUCAUCAUUAUCAUUUUUUUUUAAUUUCUCUUAUUUAUUUCAUCCCAUCAUUGGUAGAUUCUUCAUGCAUGGGAAACUUCGUAUUUAAGGAUUGUAGUUUAAAUUCGGCGGGCUUGCUUCUUUGUUCCAUAACACGGAUUUUUGAAUCCCGAAAAGAGGUGACAAGACAAAUCUAGUAGAAGUACGAAAGUUCAGAUAUUAAAAUAAGAGAGAUUAUUUCCCCAAGCCAAAAGGGGUCGAUCGAAGGCGUUCUUACAAAUAUAUACAAUUAAUGAAAAUGCAGCGUAAAUCUUUCCCCAAGCCAAAAAAAAAAAAAAACUCUCUAAAACUUUUGAACCCCCGUUUUCAAGGGAUAAAAAAAUUUUAGAAAAAUGAAAAUAAAGUCGGAAGAACAACAGGACGAGGACGCGAUUGAUGCAUUCGAGCAACGUUCUUCGCACCGAAGUGCUUCUUGGCCCUUGGCGCUCCUCCGCUACCACCUCUCACCCGUGACCAAACGACCCGGUUUAUCACUCGCAUGCAGGAAUCCUUGAUCCGAAUCGCCAUCCCCCGGCACUGCCCCCCGCCUCCCAACUUCACCCACCGGUAUUUUCUCUUCCGGUUUCGUUGUUGGAAAUGCGGGCCGUUGGAGCCCUUAUCGGCACCCCUCGCCCGCCAGUACCCCUGUAGGCCUCCUCUUCCCCUGCCAACGCCGCCACCGCCACCGGUUCGGACCUCCAUCUCGCCAGUGGACUACUCCUCACGUCCGAGGUGGUGGUAGCAGAGAUAGGGAGAGAUGGAGUGGCAUGCAACCGGAUUGGAGGGAAGGGAGAGUAUUUAUAGGGGGAGGAAGAAGGGGAUUCCCUCCCCCCCCCCUCCUUUUUUUCAGGGAGUUGCCAUUUAUUCUUUUCCAUGCAAUGUUGGCCUCUCCUUUGUUCCCUCAUUAUUUGCAGGUACACUUUCCACUUCUUUAUGAACUUUCUAAUGUCAUUAUAAUGGUCAAUAAUAAUCUUUCAAAGUUUUCUUGUUAUGUACAUGAUGUGCAAAUUGGUGGAGAAUUUUUUCCAUAAUGUGUGGUCCAUAGGUACCUAUAGUUUCUGUCAUAGUUACUUUAUUUUCUAUUUUGGUCAAAAUAAAAGGCCAUGAAUUAGAAUAUCUAUUUGCCAUAAAAGUGUCUUUGUAGAUAAAUUUGCCCUAUUUAAUGUUUAAAAGGAAUUGUUUCAAAAAUGCUAUGUGUUUAUAACAAAUUGUCGAAAAUCAAAUCUCAAUAGUAAGAGGGAGUUCUUCCAACUAUGGAUAAUCAUAUAAUGACAAUACAAAGUUAUAAAAUGACAAAAUAAAGAAACGUAAUUGCAACCAUGAUAAAAAGUUAAUCAAAUUUCGCAUCAAACAUAGUACUCUUUCAAGAAUGGAAAAAUGCUAUGAUUGGAAGGUGAUUUAGCUUGUUUCCAGCAAUAUUGUCUCAGCAUUAUGUUAUUGAGAGGAGAUGAAUCGCAAAUGCAAUCGAUUGUGAGCCACCCAUUGCUAAUAGAAGUGAAUAUCAAAUUUCAGUUUAUGGUAUCGGACAUAAUGCCUGAACCUUCUAUUUUUUUCACGACUCCAAUUUUCUUUUCAAUACCAUGACCCACAGAAUAUGCCUCUAUUUUUUUGUUUUCCUCUUAGGAAUGCAGGAUUUAGUUUGAUUGUAUACAUCGUAAAUUUCUUUUUUUUUUUUCUUUUGUUUCUAGAAAUAGAAAAAUAGUAUUGGGAUAAAGAAAUUAGAAGUUUGCUGCAUUUUUAUUAUUUUUAAUAGAAACAGCUUCCAAAAUUUGGAAGUUCCAAAAAUCAGCUUUUGGGGAAAAAAAAGGCAACACAAUAAAACAGGCACAUUUGUAUUAGAUUGUUGCGUCUAUGUAUGAGUACCUGGCUUAUAGAGAUAAUGAGUUCCAUAUCAGGUUAUCUCUAGAGUUGAUCUUUCUUUUAUUUUUACAAUCUAUUAGAGUGAUCAAUUGCCCAAAUACUAAACAAAAAAAUGAUUUAAUUCCAUUUUGAAAUAAAGUUUGUGAAUAAAGCUAAUUGUGGGCAGAAAUUGGAUGCACCAGCUCCAAGUGAACCGGGGAAAUCUUGGAGCACAUGCAUGCCAAAUAGCUUGCAAUCGAGAAUCGGUAAAAUACAAUGGUUAACGUGGCUUGUUAUCCAACCUGGGAUUUGGCAUGGUCCAAUUACAGCUGAUGCACAUGAUAUGUAGAUCAUUUUUUUUGAAGGGAUGGAAAAUAGCAUAAUUUUUUUUCAAAAAUAAGUGGUGGACAUGAGAAUAAGUAUUAAUCAAAUGGAUCAAAAAAAUAUAAUCAAUUUUUAUAUGAGAAAUGGGCUCAAAUCCAAAUUAAAUCACUUUAAAUAUUGUGUUCAGUCUGAUUCAAAUCUCUAAUAGAUAAUACAUAGAGAUAUUACUAAAAUCCGAUAAUGCUAAUUUCAUCCAACAAGAUGAAAAUGCCUCAAUUAACUCUAUGGGCCAGUGCUAAUAUAAAUACAAGACACCUCUACAUGAGCCAUAUUAAAAUUGUGAAGAUGAAUCUAACUAAGCUUAAGUAAGGAUAUAUCUUAUCCUUAUGAAUAUAACUAUGUAACUUAAUUGUAAAUGAACCAUAAAAUUAAAGAGAAUAUAAAAAUUUUAUUUUUGUCAAUUCUUGUAUCUUUUUCUCUUUUCCUAAUUGGAUCAUAGGAUUCCUUUAGCAAAAAGUUAGAUGCCUCAUUUGCUCUAUAUCUUAUAUAAAUCUAUGUUAUGAUAGUGGAUUAAAUGUCAUAAUUUUUUCUAUAGAGGUAGAAUAUAAUUUUUCAUAUAGUGGAUUAAAAAUUACACUAUAGAGGUAAAAUAUAUUUUUUUAUUUUNNNNNNNNNNNNNNNNNNNNNNNNNNNNNNNNNNNNNNNNNNNNNNNNNNNNNNNNNNNNNNNNNNNNNNNNNNNNNNNNNNNNNNNNNNNNNNNNNNNNNNNNNNNNNNNNNNNNNNNNNNNNNNNNNNNNNNNNNNNNNNNNNNNNNNNNNNNNNNNNNNNNNNNNNNNNNNNNNNNNNNNNNNNNNNNNNNNNNNNNNNNNNNNNNNNNNNNNNNNNNNNNNNNNNNNNNNNNNNNNNNNNNNNNNNNNNNNNNNNNAUCAUUAGAAUAUCGUCAUAAAAGAUCAUUUCGAUCCGGCAGCCCUAGGUAUGUCGAUUAUUAAAAUUUGAUUUUGACGGUCACGAGCGAUCAUGUGAUGAUCUGAUAGAUAGAGACCAUCGAUGGAUCCAAAAACUUGCAACGAUGAUCUCGAUGAUAUUUGUAUUACACUAUCAAAAUUUUACUUCAAUCAGACAACAUUAUCAUGAUCAAUUUAGCACGGGAUAAUUAGAGCUGUUAAAUAAAAAAUGAGUAAUCAAAAGAUCAAACGGCAUCUGAUUAUAGGAUAAUUUUUUAGAUAAAUGAUCUUUGCUAUUACUUUGAUCAUUUGAUGAUCGUAAAAUUCAAACCGUGCAUAUAUAAAUGAUUCAAAACUAUAUGUCUCUUGAUUCUCAUUUUUAAAGUCUUUAAGUAAUUAUACUUAUACUUUUGUAAGAUUUGCUUAACAUGAAUGAUCCAUAUAUGUGCAGUUUGAAUUUUAUGAUUAUCAUCAUACAAAUGAUCAAAGUAGUAGUAAAGAUCAUUUAUCUAAAAAAUCAUCUUAAUUGAAUGUCGUUUAGUCUUUUGAUCACUCAUUUUUUAUUUAACGACAGAAAUCAUUCCGUAUUAAUUGAUCAUGAUAAUGAUAUCCGAUUAAAAUAAAAUUUUUAUAGUAUACUACAAAUAUUACUAACAUUGUUGUAAUCUAUCGAUGGUCUCUAUCUUUUAGAUCAUCACAUAGUCAUUCAUGACCGUCGAAAUUAAAUUUUAUUGAUCGACAUAGUUAGAGCUAACGGAUUGAGGUGAUCUUCUGUAACAAUACUCUAACGAUAAUUAUUUAGAUAAUGAACGGUGAAGAUGGACAUUAAAUUCUAAAAUUAUACUAUAAAGAUNNNNNNNNNNNNNNNNNNNNCUAACGGUAUGAGGUGAUCUUCUGUAACAAUACUCUAACGAUAAUUAUUUAGAUAAUGAACGGUGAAGAUGGACAUUAAAUUCUAAAAUUAUACUAUAAAGAUAAUUUUUUUCUAUUUUUCUCUGAAUAUAAUAUAAUUUUAGAAUUUAAAGCUCAUGUUCACCGUUCAUUAUCUAAAUAAUUAUCGUUAGAGCAUCGUCACAAAAGAUCGCCUCGAUCCGAUAGCCCUAGGUAUAUCGAUCAUUAAAAUUUGAUUUUGAUGGCCACGAACGGCCGUGUGAUGAUCCUCAUUUGCUUUGUGUUUUAUAUGAAUGCAUGUUAUGAUAGUAGGUUAAAUGCCUCAAUUUUUCAUAUCGUCACUAUUAUGUCGUCACUAAUACUCUCAAUUCUUAUAGUGCCUACAAGUCACAUUUGCUUGAUACUAAAUUUCAAUAUCACUUAAAGAUUUCUAAGGAAAAAUUUUUCUUUAAUAUAAUUUUUUUAAUUUAAAAAAAUCUUAACAGCACCAAGGGAUUCAUCCCUUAGUAAAUCUUUAAGGGAUAACUUUUCUUACAAAUCUCUCGAUGAAAAUUAUUGAAGUAAUCACUUACUGAUCCCUUGCAAACUACCGAGACAUUUCUAAGGGAUUUACUGAGGGCAAUAAAUCCUCGCAACUCGCUUAAAGAUUUCUCAAUGAAACUAGAUUUUGAAAGCAACUUAACAUCCCUUGAAAAUUCCUUUCUAAUCCCUCAGUGAUUUUCUGAGGGAUAGAUCCCUUGAUGAUAUCUCUCGCUAAAAGGCUGAUUUUUGAUAGUGAAAAUUGUGUUCAUAUCCAUCCAAUGAUCUUUUUAAUAUAACUUUAGUAUGACUUUAUUUAUUUGAUAAUUAAAUAUGAAUAGUAUUUGACAAAUAAUUGAUAAAGUUAUGAAGAAUAAUUCAAAUGAGGAUUAUGGUGGAUAUUGGGCCUCCUCAAAGCAGUGGCUAAUCUAGAAUUAAAAGUUCUGAUAUGGUUUUGACCAAAUUGGAUGGUAAGGAAGAAAUUUGCAGCCAAAAAGUAUUAAAAAAGAAAUUUGCAACUAAAAGGCUUGCUUGCCUUAACUAUGAAAAUAUACUUAUAUACACUUUGUAUGAGAUCAACAUCCCUACAUCAAAAGGAUCAUCAAAGAAAUGAUAUGAUUCAUAUAAUAAAAGUAUCUAUAAAUAUAUAUAUAUAGUUAGCAAAAUUAGGAAAUGAUUUCCAUCACAUGCGAUUGGUCAUGUCCACCAAAUCUAGUUAUAUGGUUGGCUGAGGAAAUCAAAGAAUGAUUUUCAUGAUAUAUGAUUAUGUAGCUACGUAUCUCUAUCUAAUUUGGUGCCAAAAGAAUCAUGGUAUGAUUUCUAUUAUAGCUAUCAAGAUCUAUCUAAUCUAAUGCCAAGAGAAUCAAAAUUUGAUUCCCAUCACUCUCCCUCAAAUUAGUGUGUGGAGGUCUAUAAUGCCCAACUUGCCAACAACAAGAUGGAAUACUUCUUUACUAGGGGUGAAAGUAGUUUGGAUAUUAUCCGUCCGAAUCUAUUUUCGUAUCCGAAUAAUCCAGAUAUAGAUAAAAUUUAAGGAUCUGACUAAUAUCUGUAUCUGUAUUCAAAUAUCUAAAUUAAAAUAUAAUUCUAUAUAAUUUUAUAUAGUAUUUACUGAUUUUUAAGAAAAAAUACAAUCAUAUAAAUAUAUUAUUAAUUUGAUUCAUCAUUUAUUUAGUAAUAUCUUUGAUUCUGUUGUUAUAAAGUUAGAUUAUCUAAGUUAUAUCUGUAAUUAUAUCCAUACUUUCAGUAUCCGUAUCCGUUUAAAAUAAAUAUGGAUAUGAAUUUUUGCAUUUGAAUAAUAUUUGUAUCUAUAUUUGUAUUCAUCAGAAAAAAUAAUAUGGAUAUGGAUAUAGUGGUAUCCGAACCAUAUCCGAUCCAGUUUCAACCCUAUUCUCUAUCGAAGACUUUGGUGAAAACAUGGGCUAACUGGUGAGUGAAAAUAAACUUCGUAUGGAGUAGGUUACGCUGAAUUUUCUCAUGGAUGAAAUGACAAUUCAAUUUGAUGUACUUCAUGCAUUUAUAGAAUAUGAGAUCGGCAGCAAUAUAAAAAGCAGUUUUAUCAUUGUAGUAUAAUAGAAUAGAUGUAGAAUACGUGAAACCUAGAUCAUAGGGCAAGUAUUUUAAUCAUUGCAUCUUAUAGGCCCUUGUAACCAUGGCACAAUACUCACUUUAGCCAAGGAGUGUGAGACGAUAACUUAUUUCUUUAUCUUCUAAGAAAUAGUAGAACAAUUAAGAAAAAUAUAAAAUUCAGUAAUAAGUCAUCGAGUCAUGGGCAGCUGGCCCAGCCUAAAUCAUAAUGAGCUAUGAGAUGGAGAGAGCUAGAAGAAAAAAGAAGAAUGCCUUAGCCAUGGGUGUCUUGAAAAUAGCAAAGCAAGCAAAAGGCGGCAUCAAGGUAAGAUUUGCAAUGUUAAUGUAUAAAUUAACUAAGAAUAUGGACUAAGUAAAAAAUAUCAAGCCGAAUAACCAUAAGGUAUAUGAGAAGGCCAAUGAGGCAGUGGUAUGAAGAAAGAUCAUCAAGCGACUAGCCAUCAAAGUCUAUGAGCUUUAGAUGUUGCUCCAUAGGAGUCUUAACAGUUCCGACACUCAAAAGAUCCAUAUCUUUUAGAAUUUCUAAAGUAUAUUUUCAUUGUGAAAGAUAGAUGCCUUUAGAAGAUUGACUAAUCUUCAUGCCCAAAAAAUAUUAAAAGGUCCUAAUGUUGGGUUUGGCAUCUCGAAUUCGAUCCACAGCCAAGAAGCCACCCAAGAUAGAGAAGCCCAGCAGACCAAGCCUGCAAAUGCAAGCGCGCAGGCCUGCAGACCUAUAGGCUCAAGUUGUGGGGGCCCAGGCCCACUGGCACCCAUGGCUCGCAGGCGCAUAGCGGGCCUGCAGCGUGCGUGGCCAGCAGUGUGCAACCCAGCAUGUCGCACGGUCCACCUAGGAGACCACUUCACUUGGUCCACGCACAAGAAUACACAAUCCGAUGGCUGAGGAUGCGAUCAUGAGCUAUUUUGCACCAUCGAAUGGCCAGGAACAUGUGCAGGGGCGAUCCAAUGGCCAAAAUGAGUUUUUUGAGUCCCAACAGGAGAUUGGAUUCGAUUAGGACUCAAUUUGGGCUCUUUAAAAGCGGCAGACAGGCUGGAAAGAGCGUGUAGCGGCUUGUAGUGGCCAAAGAGCCUUCUUGAGGAUUUUUGAGGGUUUUUUGAGAGUUUUUUGUAAGAAUUUUUUGUGCCUCUUGUUGAGAGAGAGAUUGAUGUAUGAGGAUUGAGAGGGUUUGAUCUCCUCUUGUAUUUAUUCUUUCUUUCAUAGUAAAGUUUGCAUGUCCUGUGGCGGUAAGAUUUAGGCGGAUCUACAUAUUUGAUUGUGUCUUUGUAUACUUCUCUUCUUUCUUCCUAUUGCGGUAUCGACAUCGUCACCAACAAUUACGAUCUUGGGUGGGGGAUCCAUAUUCCACACUCGUGAGGGAUCCUUCCCAACAAGUGAUAUCAAAGCACUCGAUUGCCCAGGUUGUGACGGUAUUGAUCGAGGUUGAAGAAGAUGGAGAAAACAGGCUCAAUCAAGAUAGAGAUCAAUCGGUAUGAUAGGAAGAGCAAUUUCUCCCUAUGAUAGUAAGGAUGAAGGAUGUGCUCAUCCAACAAAAGUUGAUUAAUACUCUCUUAUGCAAGGAGAAACAGACUACCAUGGAGGAGAAAGAUUGGAGGUAGCUCCGGAUGCAGGCGAUAAGUACUAUCCACUUGUACUUGAUAGAUGAUGUGGUGAUUCAUAUGCUUAGUGAAACUUCUCCGAUGGCGAUAUAGAUGAAGCUCGGAGAGAUGUACAUGGCGAAGUUACUUAUCAACACUCUCUUCUUUUAGAAGUAGUUCUACCAACUGUAGAUGAGCAUGGAAUAGAGUGUGUAGGAGUAUCUCAGCAACUUUCAGAAGAUCCUCACUGAUCUCCCCUCAAUGUUAGCAAGAAGGUUGAGAAGAAGAUCAGGACAUUGGUUUUGCUUUCAUCGCUUUUCUCUUCUUUUGAGUUUUUGAUGACUGCUCUUCUUAUGGAGAAAAAUACCAUCAAGAUAGAUGAGGUCACUUCUGUAUUUCUCCAAAAUGAGGUUCUCAAACGGAAGAAUCGAGCUUCGAGUUUAGAUGAUGACUCAACUAUGGUGAUGACCGAAAGAGGUGGUAGCAGAGGAUGAAGGGGCAGAGGAUUGCAAAGUAGGUGGUCCAAAUCCAAGUCAAGGGACUACAGCAAGAUUCAAUGUUACAGGUGUAAUGAGUUGAGACAUCGAGUUAGAGAUUGUCCAUAGCUCAAAAAUCGGACGAAGGCUACUAUAAAGGCAGUCCAAGGUAGUGAUAUAGAAGAAAGUGAUGAUGUUUUUCUGGUGUUUGAUAAGAUAUCUACUUCUUUCACACAGUAAAUUUUACAUUCUGCAUGUUUGUAUCAUAUUUGUUGCAGAGAGAAGCUAUUUGUCUCCCUAAAAAGCAAUGAGAGCACUAUUCAUUUGUCAGAUGGAUCGAGCUAUGCGAUCAAGGAUAUUAAGACUGUCAGUGUACAGACUUAUGAUGGAGCAGUGAAGAAAUUGGAUGAAGUCCGAUACAUACCAAGCUUCAGGAGUAAUCUGAUUUUAUUAAGCUAAUGACAGAAUCCUAAAAGUUUUGCACAUCAGUAGGGUUGUGUUGAAGGAAAAGAGAUAUUAAAAAUAUUAUCUCUUGGCAGGGAGCUCAGUACGAGGUGAAACUUCAGGAGCCAGUGGGAGCUUAGAAUGAGGUAGAGCUCUAGGUACAGAUAGUUGGGCACAAGAUAAAAAACUCAGGAGGAUGACAUGUGACAUCACAGGGUGAAGUUUCUAUUAUCGCGAGAAGCUGCCCCGAGCAGAUCUCAGAUCAGAUAGAUCACAGCAUAUGACAAAGAUGAGAUCGAGCGACCUAGCUCGACUCAUGUUUGUCCAUCUAUAAGCAGCCAGACAUUUAUCCUAAGGCAUGAGGACGAGAUCAUCUAAAAGCUCUCAAAGUUAUGUGGAGGCUGAAUAUCGAGUUGAAGUGAAGAUUAUUGGAUUUUGAUGCAUCAAAUUCGAUCCACAGCAGAGAAGUCCAAGAUGGAGAAGCACAGCAGAUCAGGCCCACAAGCACAGGCCGUAGGGUCGGCCUAUGGGCGUGCAGGCCUGCCAGCACACACGGCCAGUAGGUGCAUGGGCGCCUGCAAUGCGAAUGGCCCAGAGUAGAGACUAUGGCAUGCGUGGCCCAUAGCACAGUGCCCAGCAUGUCGCAUGGUCCAGGAGAUCGCUUCACACAGUCCAUGUGUGGGAAUGCACAAUCCGACAGCUGAGGGCACGAUCGUGAGCUAUUUUACGUGAUCGAAUGAUCAGGAAUGCAUGCAGGGGUGAUCAAACGGCUGCAAGGAGUUUUUUGAGUCCCAACAAGAGACUGGAUUCAACUAGAACUUGAUUUGGGCCCUUUAAAAAGAGCAGACGGGCUAGGAAGAGCGUGUAGUGGCUUGUAGUGACUAGAGAGCUUUCUUGAGGAUUUUUUGAGAGCCUUUUGUGAGAGUUUUUUGUGCUUUUUGUUGAAAGAGAUAUUGAUAUAUGAGGGUUGAAAGGGUUUGAUCUCUUCUUGUAUUUAUUUUUUUUCUAUAGUGAAGCUUGCAUAGUCCAUAAAAGUAAGCUUUGGAUUGAUCCAUGUAUUUGUUUGUUUUUAUAUAUCUCUCUUCUUCCUUCCUGUUGUGACAUCGACAUCGACACCAGCAAUUGCCAUCUUAGAUGGAGAAUCUAUAUUCCGCACUCGUGAGAGAUCCUUCCCAAUAUCCAAAUCUUUAAUGUAAAAUUUGGAGAGGAGAUAGACUUAAGAGUAUCAAUAACCAUAGUAUUAUUACCGAUUAAGAUAAUAUCAUCAAUAUGAGCUAUAAUGAAGAGUUGGGAAUUACCUCAAAUAUAAAAGAAAAUGAAAUAAUCAGCAUAAGAUUGAAUGAAGCCAACAUCAAGCAAGGCUUGAGAGAACUUCUGAAACUAAUUUCUGCCAGCUUGUUUGAGACCACCAAUGACUUGUUCAUUUUACAAACUUGAUUCUCUCCCAGGUGAGAUAAAUUGAUGGAAUUUUUACAUGGACUACUUCGGAGAGUUUCCAUAUAAGAAUAUAUUAUUAACAUCAAAUUGAUGAAGAUUCCAAUCAUGAAUAAUGACAAUAGCAAGCAAGCAACUAACUAUGAUAAUUGUUACAAUUGGGGCAAAAGUCUUAUGGUAGUCAAUGCCUUUCUACUAUAUAAACCCCUUAGCCACAAGCCUGAUCGUAUAUCGCUCUACAGCACCAUUAGAUUUGUAUUUGACCUUAUACAUCUAUUUGCACCCCAUAGAUUAUUUUCCUAGAGAAAGAGGUAAUAGUAUCUAGACACUAUUUGCCUCAAGGACAUAAAUUUUUUUCUUCAUAGCCUCUCGAUAUUGAGGAGAUUUAAGAGCCUGCAAAAAGUUCUAGGUUCAGGAAUAAAAUUAAAAAUAACUAGAAAAGCAUGAUAAGAGGAGGUAAACUUAUCAUAUAUCAAAUAGUUGGAGAAUGGAAAAGAUAUAACUUAGGAUGAAAACACCGAAAAUGAGGAUCGUUGGUGUCAGAGUUUAGAGGUGGUAGCAGUGGAGCAGUAAUAAUCCUUUAGAUAUGUAGGUCACUUGGUCAGCUGAAUAAAAUGAUAUAGGGGUUGGUUUAAUGUCACUAGAUGAUGUAGGAGGUGAUUUGGAGAAGAUGAUAGGUAUGAGGUUAAUGGGCAUAGGUGCAGUAGAGGAAAACUCAUGGUUAGAGGAUGAAAUCAUACUGUUAUGUAGAAUAGUGGAGUAGAUAGGAGGUACUGGUACAGAUAAAGUAGGGUCAAGGAAAAAAAUAUUUGCAGGAGCAGGUCGGACUGGGUUAGGAAAAAGAGAACUUAGUGGAAUAUAUUGGAAAAAAAAAUAUUUUUAAAGAAAUAGAUAUUUCUACUUGUGAAUAUUUAUUUUGUUUAGAUAUGAUAUAUCUGAUAGCAUUUUUGUCUAAAAGAAUAACCUAUAAAAAUAUCAGGAAUAGCAUGAGCUUCAGAUUUAUGGUUCGUAUGGAUGUUACAGGCAAAACAUAGAUAACCAAAAAUCCUAUAGUGAGCAUAACUAAGUCGAGUACUAAACAAACUUUUAUAUAAAGAACGGUUGGACUAAAUUAGAGAGGGAAUGCGAUUAACCAAGUAAAUUGCUGUAAGAACGUAAAUGCCUUAAAAAUCAAAAGGAAGGUGGACCUAACAUUGCAAUACACGGGUAAUUCAAGUCAAAGUGUAUAUUUGCAUUCACCAACCUCACUUUGUUGGGGUAUCCCAACACAAUUAUAUUCAUAAAUGAUGUCCUCAAGGCGUCGAAAAUGUAAAGUUCAUGAUGGAAAAAUUCAGAGCCAUGAUCAAUUUUGUUCAUUUAAUAUAGGCGUUAUGCUGGAUUUUAACAAAUGAGGUGAAAGUUUAGAUAUAAUAUUGAUAUUGAGAUUUAUAUUGCAUUAAAUGCAUAUGUCGGCCUAAUUUGGUAUCGAGAGGAUUAAGAUAUGAUUUUCAUUAUAGCUGCCCAUAUUUGCUUAUGUGCCGACAAAAUCAAGAUAUGAUUCCCAUCAUUGGUAAAUGAUGAUAAUGUGAUUGGAAAAAUAGUUUUGAAGAAAAAAGUUUGACUAUUUAGCAUAAUUCAAAAGGUUACAAGGUGGUGGGUUAGUGAAUUAUAUAUAACUCUGCAAACUAAGUCGAACCUUUUCCUUUUUUUUUUUUUUUUNUUUUUUUNUUUUUUUUUUUUUUUUUUUAUUUUUUAUUUUUUACUUUU
RNAcentral lists this long non-coding RNA (25655 nucleotides) under Elaeis guineensis (African oil palm). RNAcentral describes it as "long non-coding RNA (EGUI_LNC022297)". The stretch from base 3077 to 3150 matches the Rfam family "tRNA". The record is from RNAcentral. Lineage: Eukaryota; Viridiplantae; Streptophyta; Magnoliopsida; Arecales; Arecaceae.